RNAcentral lists this ribosomal RNA (140 nucleotides) under uncultured bacterium. RNAcentral describes it as "partial 16S ribosomal RNA". It matches the Rfam family "Bacterial small subunit ribosomal RNA", at positions 355 to 509 of the family's 1533-position model. The record is from RNAcentral.
UGGGGAAUAUUGGGCAAUGGGCGCAAGCCUGACCCAGCAACGCCGCGUGAAGGAAGAAGGCUUUCGGGUUGUAAACUUCUUUUAUGAGGGACGAAUAAAGUGACGGUACCUCAUGAAUAAGCCACGGCUAACUACGUGCC